GAUGAAGAACGUAGCGAAAUGCGAUAAGUAAUGUGAAUUGCAGAAUUCAGUGAAUCAUCGAAUCUUUGAACGCACAUUGCGCCCUCUGGUAUUCCGGAGGGCAUGCCUGUUCGAGCGUCAUUACGCCCCUCAAGUCCCCUGUGGACUUGGUGUUGGGGAUCGGCGAGGCUGGUUUUCCAGCACAGCCGUCCCUUAAAUUAAUUGGCGGUCUCGCCGUGGCCCUCCUCUGCGCAGUAGUAAAACACUCGCAACAGGAGCCCGGCGCGGUCCACUGCCGUAAAACCCCCCAACUUUUUAUAGUUGACCUCGAAUCAGGUAGGACUACCCGCUGAACUUAAGCAUAUCAAUAAGCGGAGGA
RNAcentral lists this unclassified non-coding RNA (358 nucleotides) under soil metagenome. Its description in RNAcentral is "partial contains 5.8S ribosomal RNA, internal transcribed spacer 2, and large subunit ribosomal RNA". The stretch from base 1 to 120 matches the Rfam family "5.8S ribosomal RNA", at positions 35 to 154 of the family's 154-position model. The record is from RNAcentral.